This 27-nucleotide non-coding RNA is filed under the name Homo sapiens (human). Lineage: Eukaryota; Metazoa; Chordata; Mammalia; Primates; Hominidae. The record is from RNAcentral.
AGCUCACUCAGGUAGAAUAAUGGCAAG